RNAcentral lists this ribosomal RNA (468 nucleotides) under uncultured bacterium. Its description in RNAcentral is "partial 16S ribosomal RNA". It matches the Rfam family "Bacterial small subunit ribosomal RNA", at positions 28 to 507 of the family's 1533-position model. The record is from RNAcentral.
GACGAACGCUGGCGGCGUGCUUAACACAUGCAAGUCGAACGGAAAGGCCCUGCUUUUGUGGGGUGCUCGAGUGGCGAACGGGUGAGUAACACGUGAGUAACCUGCCCUUGACUUUGGGAUAACUUCAGGAAACUGGGGCUAAUACCGGAUAGGAGCUCCUGCUGCAUGGUGGGGGUUGGAAAGCUUCGGCGGUUGGGGAUGGACUCGCGGCUUAUCAGCUUGUUGGUGGGGUAGUGGCUUACCAAGGCUUUGACGGGUAGCCGGCCUGAGAGGGUGACCGGCCACAUUGGGACUGCGAUACGGCCCAGGCUCCUACGGGAGGCAGCAGUGGGGAAUAUUGCACAAUGGGCGGAAGCCUGAUGCAGCAACGCCGCGUGCGGGAUGACGGCCUUCGGGUUGUAAACCGCUUUCGCCUGUGACGAAGCGUGAGUGACGGUAAUGGGUAAAGAAGCACCGGCUAACUACGUG